This is a small nucleolar RNA of Neogale vison (American mink), 129 nucleotides long. RefSeq annotates it as small nucleolar RNA SNORA70. The record is from RefSeq and is a predicted model, not a curated record. NCBI's taxonomy places the organism in Eukaryota, Metazoa, Chordata, Mammalia, Carnivora, Mustelidae. The transcript has a single exon.
ACACUUCAUCUGAUGCCAAGCUCUUUCCCCAUGGGGAUCCAGUGAGCCACGGCUGUAGACAGGGGCCUCUUGGUGCUGUCUGCAGCUUGCUGAUUAUAUAGGUGGCCCUACAGGACCUUGCAGUUGGCC